This 253-nucleotide ribosomal RNA is filed under the name uncultured bacterium. Its description in RNAcentral is "partial 16S ribosomal RNA". It matches the Rfam family "Bacterial small subunit ribosomal RNA", at positions 524 to 776 of the family's 1533-position model. The record is from RNAcentral.
UACGAAGGGGGCUAGCGUUGCUCGGAAUCACUGGGCGUAAAGGGUGCGUAGGCGGGUCUUUAAGUCGGGGGUGAAAUCCUGGAGCUCAACUCCAGAACUGCCUUCGAUACUGGAAAGCUCGAGUCCGGGAGAGGUGAGUGGAACUGCGAGUGUAGAGGUGAAAUUCGUAGAUAUUCGCAAGAACACCAGUGGCGAAGGCGGCUCACUGGCCCGAUACUGACGCUGAUGCACGAAAGCGUGGGGAGCAAACAGG